RNAcentral lists this ribosomal RNA (478 nucleotides) under uncultured bacterium. RNAcentral's name for it is "bacterial SSU rRNA". It matches the Rfam family "Bacterial small subunit ribosomal RNA", at positions 28 to 502 of the family's 1533-position model. The record is from RNAcentral.
GAUGAACGCUAGCGGCAGGCUUAAUACAUGCAAGUCGAGGGGCAGCACGAAUAGCAAUAUUUGGUGGCGACCGGCAAACGGGUGCGGAACACGUACAGAACCUUCCUUUAAGUGGGGAAUAGCCCAGAGAAAUUUGGAUUAAUACCCCGUAACAUUAUGAAGUGGCAUCACCUUAUAAUUAUAGAUUUAUCGCUUAGAGAUGGCUGUGCGGCUGAUUAGGUAGUUGGUAAGGUAACGGCUUACCAAGCCUGCGAUCAGUAACUGGUGUGAGAGCACGACCAGUCACACGGGCACUGAGACACGGGCCCGACUCCUACGGGAGGCAGCAGUAAGGAAUAUUGGUCAAUGGACGAAAGUCUGAACCAGCCAUGCCGCGUGAAGGAUGAAGGUCCUCUGGAUUGUAAACUUCUUUUAUCUGGACGAAACACUCUUAUUCUUAAGAGCUUGACGGUACCAGAGGAAUAAGCACCGGCUAACU